This 416-nucleotide ribosomal RNA is filed under the name uncultured bacterium. RNAcentral's name for it is "partial 16S ribosomal RNA". It matches the Rfam family "Bacterial small subunit ribosomal RNA", at positions 338 to 746 of the family's 1533-position model. The record is from RNAcentral.
CCUACGGGAGGCAGCAGUGGGGAAUUUUGGACAAUGGGCGCAAGCCUGAUCCAGCUAUGCCGCGUGUGGGAUGACGGCCCUCGGGUUGUAAACCACUUUUGUAGAGAACGAACAGGAGCUAUCGAAUAAAUAGCUCUGCUGACGGUACUUUAAGAAUAAGCACCGGCUAACUACGUGCCAGCAGCCGCGGUAAUACGGAGGGGGCGAGCGUUAAUCGGAAGUAAUGGGCGUAAAGGGUGUGCAGGCGGCUGUGUAAGACAGAUGUGAAAUCCCCUGGCUUAACCGGGGAAGCGCAUAUGUGACUGCAUGGCUAGAGUGCGUCAGAGGGAGGUGGAAUUACACGUGUAGCAGGGAAAUGCGUAGAGAUGUGGAAGAACACCGAUGGCGAAGGCAGCCUCCUGGGACGCAACUGACGC